CCUCGCUCGACCCACCGCUGGUCACUGCCCCGCCGCCUGCUUCUCCUAGUCCUAGGACCUCCUCGCCUCGUCCCUCUUCCCCACCCCAAGCCUCCCACCUUCACUUACCCUCACGCAGCACACGGGCGCAGUAGAUGAUGGUGUUGUAGGUGGACACGGCGGCGGCCGCACCGCCCUGGGCCUCCUCGAUCUGGGCAUCCUCUGCAGCGCGAUAGGCUCAUUCCGCCCAGUGGGCUGUCCGAUGGCCUGGGUACCCUGCUCGGCCUACUUAGUCAACGUUGUUGUUUCGGAUCAUGUCCCUUUGGAGAAGUGAGCAAUGCUAUAACACUCUAUGAGCCAAUGCUGAAACCUCGCACAAGUGCUGAUCUGAAGAAAACCCUUAUGCAUCUGAUGAUUCAAGCAACCAUUUUUGUAAAGCAUGGCAGGAAGGCCACGUGCUAUCAUGGUCCUACUUUCCGUGAUUGGAUGGAUGCAAUCAACGCUCGCUCCAUUGAGGAUCGCCUGACAGAUGAGUUCUCAACCAUGAUGCCCCAUUUGAUGUUUUUAUAUUUUACUUGCGCCACCCAGAGACCAAGUGUUGGCUACUGUAUCACCACCACCUCGGAUUUCAGUCGUGAAAAGUUUUCCUCGGGAAAUUCUGUUGAAGUACUACUUUUCAUAGUUAUCUUAUUUCGUUCUCCUUUUUCACUAAGUUACUGUCAGUAAAAAUAGUUGCGUGGAGCCACUGAUAGUUAGAAGCAGUUAAUAUGUAUAUAGUGUGGUCGUGUAACUCAGAUAAUUAAUAUCAAGCACAGACGUAAAACAAAUAACUUGAAUAUAGCAGUACCAUUAUCACAAAAAAUGUCACAUGGAUCGUGCAUAUUACACAAGGUUAAAAAGCUGAGUGGACAAUAGACUUUUUUAUUUUGUAGAGAUAUAAUUCAGACUAAUAGGACACACGAAGUCAGGUUCGGACCACCAGAGCAAUCCUAGAGGCUUUACAGCCUCCUGAGCCGAUGGUUCGUGUAGUACUGUAUGGUCAACCAUUGUCGUAGAAACGCCAUGACACGGGUCAGUAUAGAUACACGAGUUGGGCCAAGUGUUAGACGAUAAGUUGCUAGCUCAGCAGCUACUGCCUCAAAGACAAUAUGGUUCUCGUCAGUGGAUUUUAAAACUCCUACAACAUUUAGAAAACAACAAGAGUUAGAAUACUCAUGUAUGUUAAGCAGUUUAGUAAAAUCAACACUACAUUCUAAUACUCGUUGUGUCAUCUAGCAGGUGUAAACUGCAACUUACUAUAAUUUGAUAUAGCGCAAUAUCGUAGACUCCAAUUAGUGAACAGAAAAAUGUGUCCCAGUUCUUGUGUGCAUUGCUGUUGUACUCUAAAGAUGCUUCUCACUGCUUUCCUCUCAUUAUCGAUGAGAAGUUUUGACUUCAGAUUGGUGAGUAGCCCACACACAGAAGUGGGUUGCAAUAUUAACUUGUAUGAACCAGAACCUAUCUCUGGAAGUUUAGAAAGCGUGUUACAUUUUUAGUUGCAUUAUGUGCUUCCCAUGGCCAUGCAUCUGCUGUGGUGUCUGCACUCUAAGAUCAUAUUUCAUACCUAUUGGUGUCUGCCACACUGAAUUUUGUAGGUCUUCCUGUUGCUUACCAAGAAAUUUUGAAGAGCAGGCCUAUUUAGUGUGGAAAUUAUGUAAACAUGCUGACAGUGUUCCUUCCAUGGCUUUCAACUUCCACUCAUCCCAUGAACAUGAAGAUAUUCGUAACUGCUUAUGUAAAAUAGUACCGUUAGAGAAACUUUCUUCAGCAGGUUGUAUACUUGUAUUUACUUGGAUCAAAGGGAAAGCAACCAGAGAAGUGGUGCAGAGUAUCUUCAGUGAUAAUUUGGAUAGAAGUCAUAGUUGCAAAGAUGCCUCCAUUGUUGAUCAAGCUGAUGGAGUUCAUGUUUGAGAUAACUUUCAGAAGCUACUCCAGGAGUAGAGUAUACUUGCAUUUUGACUAUGAUCGUCCUCUUCUUCUUCAGUGAUGCAGAUUUUAUUACUGACCAAUGGUUGUCUUCGAUACAGUCUGGAGGGAGAUGCAGGAGAUGCAACAGUUAUAUAAGAUGAAAAUAAAGUUUGAAGCAAUUCCAUGAAAGAUCAAGGAGUGUAUAAGCGGGUUGUCGCUGCAGCAGUAAGGAGACGCCGUAGCAACAUCACAUAAUAGUGCUCACAGGUGAGGGGAUUCCCAUUGGUUUGCAUGUUGCGGCAUUCUUGAGAUAUAUUUAUUGCAAAUUUCCAGUGUUUUAUGGUCUGUUUGGAGGUUUAUAUUGCUACUUUGUCAUGUAGACUCUUUUAUUCACGAUCCGAAUCGAUAGGAAUAGAAGAAGUGAAGGUUUAUUAGGACGUGUCUAACCUGAAAUCCCACAUGAUUUCUUUGCACCAUAUGCAUCUUCCAAAAGGUGCUGAUCAAUAGAAAUUAUCUACGGAUCGGGGUGCAUAGGAGUAACUCAUACACGCAAUUUCUACAAAUUACUACUUUUGUCGAAUGCAUGCAGGAGCACAAUAGCUGCCCCAUUAUAUUAGAGGAGAAAUAAAUACACUACUCCCUCCGAUUCAAAUGAUGGGGAAUUCUCCCUGAUGACAACCAAUUUCAGAAGGGCAUACAACUUAGAGGUGUGAUUCCUGGAGGUCUCUCGCCCAGCCAUGCUUGAGGGUACCCUUUAUAUGCACGCACCAGAAAUCUGAUGGGCUUCUCUUUGGAGGUGUGAAAUUGUAGAGAUCUAGGGCAAGUACCGAUCUAGUUGCUGCGAAAUGAUGUAGUUUCCUUUCUUCUGUGCUGAUGCAAAAUCCCUAAAAAAUUAUAAACUCUAUCAUACGGAACUUGAGAAGUGUGAAUAAUACGGAACUACCAGAUCUAACCAAGAAAAGAUUAUAAACUCUAUCAUACAUGAUUUUGAGAAAAUUAGAAAAAUUGGUGCGUGGAAUUUAGAAUUUAGUCCUCAUACCUAUGGUGUGUAACAAAUUAGAAGAAACAAGAUAUUAGAUCAAAAUCAUCUACGUCAGAAACAAAAAACUGAUUCUGUUGGCCAUAGGUAUCAUGUAGA
Lolium rigidum is the source of this 3064-nucleotide long non-coding RNA. RefSeq lists it as uncharacterized. The record is from RefSeq and is a predicted model, not a curated record. The transcript is spliced from 9 exons. NCBI's taxonomy places the organism in Eukaryota, Viridiplantae, Streptophyta, Magnoliopsida, Poales, Poaceae.